CCCGCUGAACUUAAGCAUAUCAAUAAGCGGAGGAAAAGAAACUAACAAGGAUUCCCCUAGUAACUGCGAGUGAAGCGGGAAGAGCUCAAAUUUAGAAUCUGGCGUGCCUCUGGUCGUCCGAGUUGUAGUCUGGAGAAGUGUUUUCCGUGUUGGACCGUGUAUAAGUCUCUUGGAACAGGGCGUCAUAGAGGGUGAGAAUCCCGUCUUUGACACGGACUACCAAUGCUUUGUGAUGCACUCUCAAAGAGUCGAGUUGUUUGGGAAUGCAGCUCAAAAUGGGUGGUAAAUUCCAUCUAAAGCUAAAUAUAGGCGAGAGACCGAUAGCGAACAAGUACCGUGAGGGAAAGAUGAAAAGCACUUUGGAAAGAGAGUUAAACAGUACGUGAAAUUGCUGAAAGGGAAACGCUUGAAGUCAGUCACAUUGGCCAGGGAUCAACUUGCUUAAGUGUACUUCCUGGUUGAUGGGCCAACAUCAGCUUUGACUGUCAGAGAAGGGUAGGGGGAAUGUGGCACCCUCCUGGGUGUGUUAUAGCCCUCUGUCAUAUAUGGCCGUUGGGGCUGAGGAAUGCAGCGCGCCACAAGGCCGGGUUUCGACCACGUUCGCGCUUAGGAUGUUGGCAUAAUGGCUUUAAUCGACCCGUCUUGAAACACGG
This 653-nucleotide ribosomal RNA is filed under the name uncultured fungus. RNAcentral's name for it is "eukaryotic LSU rRNA". It matches the Rfam family "Eukaryotic large subunit ribosomal RNA", at positions 24 to 664 of the family's 3401-position model. Lineage: Eukaryota; Fungi. The record is from RNAcentral.